UGGCGGACGGGUGAGUAACGCGUGGAUAACCUGCCUUGCACCGGGGGAUAACACUUAGAAAUAGGUGCUAAUACCGCAUAAGCGCACAGAGCCGCAUGGCUCGGUGUGAAAAACUCCGGUGGUGCAAGAUGGACCCGCGUCUGAUUAGCUGGUUGGCGGGGUAACGGCCCACCAAGGCGACGAUCAGUAGCCGGCCUGAGAGGGUGAACGGCCACAUUGGGACUGAGACACGGCCCAAACUCCUACGGAAGGCAGCAG
Molecule: ribosomal RNA, 258 nt
Filed under: uncultured bacterium
Lineage: Bacteria
Description: partial 16S ribosomal RNA
Rfam family: Bacterial small subunit ribosomal RNA
Source: RNAcentral